This 470-nucleotide ribosomal RNA is filed under the name uncultured bacterium. RNAcentral's name for it is "bacterial SSU rRNA". It matches the Rfam family "Bacterial small subunit ribosomal RNA", at positions 30 to 507 of the family's 1533-position model. The record is from RNAcentral.
UGAACGCUAGCGGCAGGCUUAACACAUGCAAGUCGAGGGUAGUGGUUUGGACCAAGAGACCGGCGCACGGGUGCGUAACGCGUAUGCAAUCUACCUUUGCAGAGGGAUAGCCAGAGAAAUUGGAUUAAUACCUCAUAGUAUAGUACUUUGGCAUCAAGGAACUAUUAAAGUCACAACGGCAAAAGAUGAGCAUGCGUCCCAUUAGCUAGUUGGUAAGGUAACGGCUUACCAAGGCAACGAUGGGUAGGGGUCCUGAGAGGGAGAUCCCCCACACUGGUACUGAGACACGGACCAGACUCCUACGGGAGGCAGCAGUGAGGAAUAUUGGACAAUGGGCGCAAGCCUGAUCCAGCCAUGCCGCGUGCAGGAAUAAGGUCCUAUGGAUUGUAAACUGCUUUUAUACAGGAAGAAACACACCCUCGUGAGGGUACUUGACGGUACUGUAUGAAUAAGGACCGGCUAACUCCGUG